AGAAUUUGAGAAGUUAAAUGAGGCAUAAAUCUUGAAUUAGUAUUAAUAUGGAUUAUAGAUCUAAGACUUUCUAAUUCUUUAAAUUAGAGUUAUUUAUUUUAAUGUAAAAUUAAUAUAUAGUAUUGUGAAAUAAUUAUGUAGAUUAUAUUGACAAAGAUAGUGGUGAAAAAGGAGUUGUGAAGGGGAACUUGUUAUUCAAGACACAAGGAGCGAGUCCGGCCGAGAAAGCACCAGAGGUGUAACUAUGGUGUAUGAAACACCAUCUUUUACGUUGCCUCUCAUUUUGUAUUAUGCAAUGUAUCUUGUGCCAACCUAGGACAUUUCUUAUUUUGACAACAUGUAAACUCUAAUCCUUUUUAUUAAAUACAAUUAUAUGACCAAGAGGAUUAUGUUUGUCCCUCUUGAUUCA
Molecule: long non-coding RNA, 409 nt
Organism: Prosopis cineraria
Lineage: Eukaryota; Viridiplantae; Streptophyta; Magnoliopsida; Fabales; Fabaceae
Exons: 2
Source: RefSeq, a predicted model, not a curated record